RNAcentral lists this unclassified non-coding RNA (193 nucleotides) under soil metagenome. RNAcentral describes it as "partial contains 5.8S ribosomal RNA, internal transcribed spacer 2, and large subunit ribosomal RNA". The record is from RNAcentral.
AACGCACGAGACCUGCGGACCUGCGGAGGGAUCAUUACCGAGUUAUCCAACUCCCAACCCCUGUGAAUUAUACCUUUGAUUGUUGCUUCGGCGGGACUUCGCGCCCGCCGGGGACCCAAACCUUCUGAAUUUUUUAAUAAGUAUCUUCUGAGUGGUUAAAAAAAUGAAUCAAAACUUUCAACAACGGAUCUCU